This 439-nucleotide ribosomal RNA is filed under the name uncultured bacterium. Its description in RNAcentral is "partial 16S ribosomal RNA". It matches the Rfam family "Bacterial small subunit ribosomal RNA", at positions 338 to 795 of the family's 1533-position model. The record is from RNAcentral.
CCUACGGGUGGCAGCAGUGGGGAAUAUUGCACAAUGGGCGAAAGCCUGAUGCAGCAACGCCGCGUGAGCGAUGAAGGUCUUCGGGUCGUAAAGCUCUUUUCUCAAGGAAGAUAAUGACGGUACUUGAGAAGGAAGCCGCGGCUAACUACGUGCCAGCAGCCGCGGCAAUACGUCGGGGGCUAGGGUUAUCCGGAAUUUCUGGGCGUAAGGGGGGCGUAGGGGGUUUCUUGAGUCAGAGGUGAAAGGCUAGGGCUCAACCGUAGUAAGCCGUUGAAACUGGGGAACUUGAGUGGAGGAGAGGUAAGUGGAAUUCGUGGUGUAGCGGUGAAAUGCGUAGAUAUUGGGCGGAACACCAGUUGCGAAGGCGGCUCUCUGGACUGAAACUGACGCUGAGGCACGAAAGCGUGGGGAGCGAACAGGAUUAGAUACCCCAGUAGUC